RNAcentral lists this ribosomal RNA (253 nucleotides) under uncultured bacterium. RNAcentral describes it as "partial 16S ribosomal RNA". It matches the Rfam family "Bacterial small subunit ribosomal RNA", at positions 524 to 776 of the family's 1533-position model. The record is from RNAcentral.
UACGGAGGGUGCAAACGUUGCUCGGAAUCAUUGGGCGUAAAGCGCACGUAGGCGGUCCAGCAAGUCGGGUGUGAAAGCCCUCGGCUUAACCGAGGAAGUGCAUUCGAAACUACUGGGCUUGAGUACUGAAGAGGAUCGCGGAAUUCCCGGUGUAGAGGUGAAAUUCGUAGAUAUCGGGAGGAACACCAGUGGCGAAGGCGAGACUCUGGACAGUUCCUGACGCUGAGGCACGAAGGCCAGGGGAGCAAACGGG